This 1027-nucleotide ribosomal RNA is filed under the name Clonostachys compactiuscula. Its description in RNAcentral is "LSU rRNA". It matches the Rfam family "Eukaryotic large subunit ribosomal RNA", at positions 58 to 1121 of the family's 3401-position model. The record is from RNAcentral. Lineage: Eukaryota; Fungi; Ascomycota; Sordariomycetes; Hypocreales; Bionectriaceae.
AAAGAAACCAACAGGGAUUGCCCUAGUAACGGCGAGUGAAGCGGCAACAGCUCAAAUUUGAAAUCUGGCGCAAGCCCGAGUUGUAAUUUGUAGAGGAUGUUUCUGGCGACGUGCCUUCCGAGUUCCCUGGAACGGGACGCCAUAGAGGGUGAGAGCCCCGUACGGUUGGAUGCCUAGCCUCUGUGAAACUCCUUCGACGAGUCGAGUAGUUUGGGAAUGCUGCUCUAAAUGGGAGGUAUACGUCUUCUAAAGCUAAAUACCGGCCAGAGACCGAUAGCGCACAAGUAGAGUGAUCGAAAGAUGAAAAGCACUUUGAAAAGAGGGUUAAAAAGUACGUGAAAUUGUUGAAAGGGAAGCGUUUAUGACCAGACUUGGGCAGGUUGAUCAUCCGUGGUUCUCCGCGGUGCACUCUGCCUGCCCAGGCCAGCAUCAGUUUUCCCCGGGGGAUAAAGGUUUCGGGAAUGUGGCUCCUCCGGGAGUGUUAUAGCCCGUUGCGUAAUACCCUGGGGUGGACUGAGGUUCGCGCAUUGCAAGGAUGCUGGCGUAAUGGUCAUCAACGACCCGUCUUGAAACACGGACCAAGGAGUCGUCUUCGUAUGCGAGUGUUCGGGUGUCAAACCCCUACGCGUAAUGAAAGUGAACGUAGGAGAGAGCUUCGGCGCAUCUCCGACCGAUCCUGAUGUUCUCGGAUGGAUUUGAGUAAGAGCAUACGGGGCCGGACCCGAAAGAAGGUGAACUAUGCCUGUAUAGGGUGAAGCCAGAGGAAACUCUGGUGGAGGCUCGCAGCGGUUCUGACGUGCAAAUCGAUCGUCAAAUAUGGGCAUGGGGGCGAAAGACUAAUCGAACCUUCUAGUAGCUGGUUUCCGCCGAAGUUUCCCUCAGGAUAGCAGUAUUGAACUCAGUUUUAUGAGGUAAAGCGAAUGAUUAGGGACCAGGGGGCGCUAUAUAGCCUUCAUCCAUUCUCAAACUUUAAAUAUGUAAGAAGCCCUUGUUACUUAAUUGAACGUGGGCAUUCGAAUGUAUCAAU